RNAcentral lists this ribosomal RNA (253 nucleotides) under uncultured bacterium. RNAcentral describes it as "partial 16S ribosomal RNA". It matches the Rfam family "Bacterial small subunit ribosomal RNA", at positions 524 to 776 of the family's 1533-position model. The record is from RNAcentral.
UACGAAGGGGGCUAGCGUUGUUCGGAUUUACUGGGCGUAAAGCGCACGUAGGCGGAUCGAUCAGUCAGGGGUGAAAUCCCAGAGCUCAACUCUGGAACUGCCUUUGAUACUGUCGAUCUGGAGUAUGGAAGAGGUGAGUGGAAUUCCGAGUGUAGAGGUGAAAUUCGUAGAUAUUCGGAGGAACACCAGUGGCGAAGGCGGCUCACUGAUCCAUUACUGACGCUGAGGUGCGAAAGCGUGGGGAGCAAACAGG